This 830-nucleotide long non-coding RNA is filed under the name Olea europaea (common olive). Its description in RNAcentral is "long non-coding RNA (OEUR_LNC005927)". The record is from RNAcentral. Lineage: Eukaryota; Viridiplantae; Streptophyta; Magnoliopsida; Lamiales; Oleaceae.
UUUCUUCCUUCACAUUCCACCAACUCCUGUUAGUGCCGCUAAGCUGCAAUGUGAAAAUCGGAGCUCGUGGCUUGACUAUAAGCUGCCAAGUUUCUGCAGGUACCUUGGUGUAAGCAUCUAAAUCCCAAAUGGCUGUUGUGGUUUCAAACAAGAAGAAAAAUCCCGCGAGUUAAGAGGAAAUGGUUGUGGUGGGUGUUGAAUGUUGGAUCGUGAUAUUAGGCGAUAAUUGUCUCCAAAAAUUCCUCGAAUGUGAAUGAGAAAUCAAAUUCAGAACCCAGAAGAGAACAUGGCUGAAGAAUAUCUAGGAUUUGGGGUGUAAUUAGGAUUGAGAGUGGUGGUUGAUGUGUUUGUAACAGCGGCAGGAGCUGGAUUUUGUGGGUUGCUGCCUGCUGGUAUUGGGAGCAAUGGUGGACAGGUGGGAUAUUGGUGACUUGGUGGUGAUGGCGGAUUCUGACAGAAACGAUGAGAGAAUGGUGACAUGGUGAAGGAAAUAGGUCGUUGACAGAGGAGGGAGCCGGUGAUUGAAGAAGUGGCGGCGAUGCGUGAUUUGUGGUGGAAGCAGGCCAGCGGUGAGGAAUUAGGCGGUGGUGGCUGCAAACGUUGUGAUAUUUAGUGUGUAGGGGAGACGAUUUGUGGUUUGAUUAGAUUUGUUUGUAAUGGGCUGUUGUACUAGGAACGGGCAGGACUUGUGUAUAGAAAUGGGCUGUAUGAUUAUGAUUUGAUUUAGUAGCUUUUAUAAUAUUUUCUUAGAUGAUUUGAAACCCUACAUAAAGGGGGGGUCAUGCAAUGUAAUCAGGACAAUUUUUUAUUAUGAAAUAAAUUGAUUUCUU